AACGAACGCUGGCGGCAUGCCUAACACAUGCAAGUCGAACGAGACCUUCGGGUCUAGUGGCGCACGGGUGCGUAACGCGUGGGAACCUGCCCUUAGGUUCGGCAUAACUCCCCGAAAGGGGUGCUAAUACCGGAUAAUGUCUUCGGACCAAAGAUUUAUCGCCUUUGGAUGUGCCCGCGUUGGAUUAGCUAGUUGGUAGGGUAAAAGCCUACCAAGGCGACGAUCCAUAGCUGGUCUGAGAGGAUGAUCAGCCACACUGGGACUGAGACACGGCCCAGACUCCUACGGGAGGCAGCAGUGGGGAAUAUAGGACAAUGGGCGAAAGCCUGAUCCAGCAAUGCCGCGUGAGUGAUGAAGGCCUUAGGGUUGUAAAGCUCUUUUACCCGGGAUGAUAAUGACAGUACCGGGAGAAUAAGCUCCGGCUAACUCCGUG
Molecule: ribosomal RNA, 433 nt
Filed under: uncultured bacterium
Lineage: Bacteria
Description: partial 16S ribosomal RNA
Rfam family: Bacterial small subunit ribosomal RNA
Source: RNAcentral